RNAcentral lists this transfer RNA (68 nucleotides) under Pythium aphanidermatum DAOM BR444. Its description in RNAcentral is "tRNA-Ile for anticodon GAU". The stretch from base 5 to 60 matches the Rfam family "tRNA", at positions 9 to 63 of the family's 71-position model. From Rfam's summary of the family: Transfer RNA (tRNA) molecules are approximately 80 nucleotides in length. Their secondary structure includes four short double-helical elements and three loops (D, anti-codon, and T loops). Lineage: Eukaryota; Oomycota; Peronosporomycetes; Pythiales; Pythiaceae. The record is from RNAcentral.
CCCCAGCUCAACGGUAGAGCUCUCGGCUGAUAACCGAGCGGUACCUGGUUCGAUCCUAGGCGCGGGGC